Phthorimaea operculella (potato tuberworm) is the source of this 72-nucleotide non-coding RNA. The record is from the annotation of a GenBank genome assembly. NCBI's taxonomy places the organism in Eukaryota, Metazoa, Arthropoda, Insecta, Lepidoptera, Gelechiidae.
GGCCGAUAUGGCGCAGUGAUAGUGCGACUGCCUACGACGCAGAAGGUACCGGGUUCGAUUCUCGGUGGGUCA